UACGUAGGGCGCAAGCGUUUGUCCGGAAUUAUUGGGCGUAAAGAGCUCGUAGGUGGUUUGUUACGUCUGCUGUGAAAACCUAGGGCUUAACCCUGGGCCUGCAGUGGAUACGGGCAGACUAGAGGUAGGUAGGGGAGAAUGGAAUUCCCGGUGUAGCGGUGAAAUGCGCAGAUAUCGGGAGGAACACCGGUGGCGAAGGCGGUUCUCUGGGCCUUACCUGACGCUGAGGAGCGAAAGCGUGGGGAGCGAACAGG
RNAcentral lists this ribosomal RNA (254 nucleotides) under uncultured bacterium. Its description in RNAcentral is "partial 16S ribosomal RNA". It matches the Rfam family "Bacterial small subunit ribosomal RNA", at positions 524 to 776 of the family's 1533-position model. The record is from RNAcentral.